UACGUAGGGUGCGAGCGUUAAUCGGAAUUACUGGGCGUAAAGCGUGCGCAGGCGGUUUUGUAAGCCCGAUGUGAAAUCCCCGGGCUUAACCUGGGAAUGGCAUUUGGGACUGCAAGGCUUGAGUGCGGCAGAGGAGACUGGAACUCCUGGUGUAGCAGUGAAAUGCGUAGAUAUCAGGAGGAACACCGAUGGCGAAGGCAGGUCUCUGGGCUGACACUGACGCUCAUGCACGAAAGCGUGGGGAGCAAACAGG
Molecule: ribosomal RNA, 253 nt
Filed under: uncultured bacterium
Lineage: Bacteria
Description: partial 16S ribosomal RNA
Rfam family: Bacterial small subunit ribosomal RNA
Source: RNAcentral